This is a non-coding RNA of Rhodospirillales bacterium 47_12_T64, 153 nucleotides long. The record is from Rfam. Lineage: Bacteria; Pseudomonadati; Pseudomonadota; Alphaproteobacteria; Rhodospirillales.
ACAUGUUCUCGGGGCGGGGCGGAAAUCCCCACCGGCGGUGAUAGCACAAUUGCUUAAGCCCGCGAGCGCCUCUCAGGUUCGCAUUUGAGAGGGUCAGCAGAUUUGGUGUGAUUCCAAGGCCGACGGUUAUAGUCCGGAUGGUAGAGAACGGAG